UACGUAGGAGGCAAGCGUUGUCCGGAGUUACUGGGCGUAAAGCGCACGUAGGCGGCUUUCUAAGUCGGGGGUGAAAUCCUGGAGCUCAACUCCAGAACUGCCUUCGAUACUGGAAGCUCGAGUCCGGGAGAGGUGAGUGGAACUGCGAGUGUAGAGGUGAAAUUCGUAGAUAUUCGCAAGAACACCAGUGGCGAAGGCGGCUCACUGGCCCGGUACUGACGCUGAGGUGCGAAAGCGUGGGGAGCAAACAGGG
This 253-nucleotide ribosomal RNA is filed under the name uncultured bacterium. RNAcentral describes it as "partial 16S ribosomal RNA". It matches the Rfam family "Bacterial small subunit ribosomal RNA", at positions 524 to 777 of the family's 1533-position model. The record is from RNAcentral.